Non-coding RNA from Rhodocollybia butyracea, 104 nucleotides. Lineage: Eukaryota; Fungi; Basidiomycota; Agaricomycetes; Agaricales; Omphalotaceae. The record is from the annotation of a GenBank genome assembly.
UCCCUGGUAGUAUAUCGGUUACUAUCCGCGCCUGUCAUGGCCAAUCAACCAAAGGCCUGAGAUAACCGCGCGAUUGAAGCUGGGUUCGAAUCUCAGCCAGGGAG